RNAcentral lists this transfer RNA (88 nucleotides) under Halobacteriovoraceae bacterium. Its description in RNAcentral is "tRNA-Ser". It matches the Rfam family "tRNA". Rfam says of the family: Transfer RNA (tRNA) molecules are approximately 80 nucleotides in length. Their secondary structure includes four short double-helical elements and three loops (D, anti-codon, and T loops). The record is from RNAcentral. Lineage: Bacteria; Pseudomonadati; Bdellovibrionota; Bacteriovoracia; Bacteriovoracales; Halobacteriovoraceae.
GGAGAAUUGGCCGAGCGGUCGAAGGCGCACGCUUGGAAAGCGUGUAUACCGAAAGGUAUCGGGGGUUCGAAUCCCCUGUUCUCCGCCA